This 1149-nucleotide long non-coding RNA is filed under the name Phasianus colchicus (ring-necked pheasant). RNAcentral describes it as "lncRNA (ENSPCLG00000005216.1)". Lineage: Eukaryota; Metazoa; Chordata; Aves; Galliformes; Phasianidae. The record is from RNAcentral.
GAAGUGAUAUUCAGAAUUAAACAUGCAAUACAGAAAUGCAAAGAUGUCCCUUUUGUCUGGAAGGUAAGCCUGGACAAGUGCUGCUACGAUCUUGACACCUUCAUAUGUUCUUCAGCAGCCUGUGGAGACAGAGCCAGUGUGUGGCUGUUGCUGUUUCCAGUCCCACUGACUGCUGCUGGAGCUAAGGGCACAAAAAUAUUUGCUUUAGGAAGCAGCCACGUGCAUUAUCGCAAUACUCAGCUUUCCUUUGAGACGGGGAAAAAAAAGAAGAAAAAAAAAGUGGUUAUCGCUCUUCACACGUGGAGCUCUUUGCUGAUUUCCUGGUCACCUGGCCCAGAAGGAGGGAGGAAGGGCUGGCGCACACCGGAGCGCUCCGGGACGGAGCUGCUAAGGUUCCGACGCCCGCUGAGGAGGAGGCCGCGUGGCCCAGAGCUGCGGAGCCGCAGCGGGGGGAAGGCGGGCGCGGCCCGGCCGCUGGGGCCGCCUCCUGACGUCGGGAACCUGCCGUGCGCGGGGCGGGGCGGGGCGGGCGCCGGGAGCGGGCAGAGCCGGCUGCGGGGCGCGGCGCCCGGCCUGUCCCCGCGCCCAGGGCCGGAGCAGGUAGGGCGGCGGGCGGCUCCCCCGGAGGGAGGGCGCGGGGCAGGGGGGAGGCCGCGCCGCGCAGCGCAGACAAAGAGCCGGGCUCGGCCCGCGGGGGCUCCGCGCUGCACCUGGGGCCGAGCUCCGCGCUCCGCCGCUGCUGACGGCCCGCACGGUUCCUCCCCGAGCGCUCGGGCCCGGCCGGGGCCGCGGGGAGAGAGCGGGGCCGUUCGCGCCGGGUGCGUGGCCGGGCCGCGGGGUGAAGCGCCCGGAUCCGCACCGCCGGGAGCCGCGUGCGGAUGCGGCGUCGCGGAGCCGCCCGGCGGCAUCUGUCCGUCUCCGUCUGCUCUGCGCCGAGGGGCAGCCCUGCCCCACGCUGCGGGGUUGGGGAGACCCAGCCCUGCUCCUAGAUGCACCGGGAAACGCAGCUUCGGUCUCGGAAAAGAAGAUGCACUGACGUGUGCUGCUUUUCCUUCUUCCUUCAGGCGGAGAGAAGAGAGGAAAAUGCGAUAUUGCGGGAGAGCGAGGAGGAGAGGCAGCAGGGCUGUGCUCUGUGCUGCCGGCCUGUAG